RNAcentral lists this ribosomal RNA (396 nucleotides) under uncultured bacterium. RNAcentral describes it as "bacterial SSU rRNA". It matches the Rfam family "Bacterial small subunit ribosomal RNA", at positions 30 to 430 of the family's 1533-position model. The record is from RNAcentral.
AUUGAACGCUGGCGGAAUGCUUUACACAUGCAAGUCGAACGGCAGCACGGGGCAACCUGGUGGCGAGUGGCGAACGGGUGAGUAAUACAUCGGAACGUGCCCAAUCGUGGGGGAUAACGUAGCGAAAGCUACGCUAAUACCGCAUACGAUCUACGGAUGAAAGCGGGGAUCGCAAGACCUCGCGCGAAUGGAGCGGCCGAUGGCAGAUUAGGUAGUUGGUGGGGUAAAGGCUCACCAAGCCUGCGAUCUGUAGCUGGUCUGAGAGGACGACCAGCCACACUGGAACUGAGACACGGUCCAGACUCCUACGGGAGGCAGCAGUGGGGAAUUUUGGACAAUGGGCGCAAGCCUGAUCCAGCCAUUCCGCGUGCAGGAUGAAGGCCUCGGGUUGUAAAC